ACCUACGGGAGCAGCAGUAGGGAAUUUUCGUCAAUGGGCGCAAGCCUGAACGAGCAAUGCCGCGUGAACGAGGAAGGUCUUCGGAUCGUAAAGUUCUGUUGAAGGGGAAAAAGAGCGGAGAGAGGAAAUGCUUUCUGAUUGAUAUUACCCUUCGAGGAAGUCACGGCUAACUACGUGCCAGCAGCCGCGGUAAUACGUAGGUGGCGAGCGUUAUCCGGAAUGAUUGGGCGUAAAGGGUGCGUAGGCGGCCUGCUAAGUCUGGAGUGAAAGGUACCGGCUCAACCGGUACAGGUUCUGGAAACUGG
RNAcentral lists this ribosomal RNA (305 nucleotides) under uncultured bacterium. Its description in RNAcentral is "bacterial SSU rRNA". It matches the Rfam family "Bacterial small subunit ribosomal RNA", at positions 335 to 636 of the family's 1533-position model. The record is from RNAcentral.